This 72-nucleotide transfer RNA is filed under the name Urocitellus parryii (Arctic ground squirrel). RNAcentral describes it as "Spermophilus parryii (Arctic ground squirrel) tRNA". It matches the Rfam family "tRNA". From Rfam's summary of the family: Transfer RNA (tRNA) molecules are approximately 80 nucleotides in length. Their secondary structure includes four short double-helical elements and three loops (D, anti-codon, and T loops). RNAcentral also lists the same sequence under 1 other name. Lineage: Eukaryota; Metazoa; Chordata; Mammalia; Rodentia; Sciuridae. The record is from Rfam by way of RNAcentral.
GGGAGUGUAGCUCAGUGGUAGAGCAUUUGCCUAGCAUGCAUGAAGCCCAGGGUUCUAUCUCUGGUACUGCCC